Molecule: non-coding RNA, 128 nt
Organism: Jatropha curcas
Lineage: Eukaryota; Viridiplantae; Streptophyta; Magnoliopsida; Malpighiales; Euphorbiaceae
Source: Rfam
UAGUGAUUGUGAUAUUGGCCUGGUUCACUCAGAACAUGUAAAAGAAACCCUAAGUUGAAUUCUUUUUUUCAUUUCUUGGUUGAUUUUUUAUGAUUUGAUUGAGCCGUGCCAAUAUCUCAGUGCUCUUU